Bombyx mori (domestic silkworm) is the source of this 84-nucleotide non-coding RNA. The record is from Rfam. NCBI's taxonomy places the organism in Eukaryota, Metazoa, Arthropoda, Insecta, Lepidoptera, Bombycidae.
UUAACUCAAAUCUGUAUGGACUUGGAACCUUUGCCUACGUUUGCCGCUAGGGGCGCUGUUCCAACUGCAUACAAAUUUGAGUUA